CGGACGCUUCUCAUCACAGGUCAGCAGAAGCGACCGGCCAAUUUUGCGUUAGUGUUGCUGCCUUCCCCCGGGAGGAAAGUUAACUCAGGGUUAGAAGAUCAUACUGCAAUAUGCAGAAUGUUGGAGCACUGUGAAAGAAUGGAAAAGCUGAAGAACUGCAUCAAUAUGGACACUUCUCAGUCACCAUAGUUCAACCUUAUAUCUGUUAAAUAAUACUACAGAGACUACAAAGCAUGUACACUGUGAACUGGAAACGAAAUACCUACCAAGCAUUGCUUCUUAUUAUAGGACUCACACGACACAGAACAGUUUUGUUACACUCCAGCUGCCUUUCUGGAAUAAAUUAUGUGGAAAGGUCACAUCUAGUCACAGGCAAGGCCAGGGCACCAAGCUCUGCUACUGGCAUUCCCUGAAUGCUAAACUUGCUAGCACCACCAAAUAUAAUGACAGUGUUUAUAAAAUGCACAUAUUAUAUGUUGUAUUAUGUAUACCCAAUAUAAAUGGAUAUUUUACGACAUUUCUGAUAAUGUGUGUGUGUGUGUGUGUGCGAGUGCAUGUGCAUCCAUAUAUUUAUCCUUCCUGUCUUACCUCAGUCAGUUAUUCAGUUAAAAGGCAAAGUUUAUUUAGCAGUCCGGGUAUAAAUGAACAGAAAUCUUCUUCAGUUUUAAGAUUACUUUAUAGGAAAGUCCACUCUCUUGUACAGUUUAACUCAACCUUUAGGUUGCUUUUCUCCCUACAAUAUGGUUCUAGUAUUGUUUAGGUACAAGAAACCUGCUUGUAUUUCAUCAAACUUUUUUUUUUCCUUGCCUUGGAGUCAAAGGACAGGAAAGCCCACCCACCUUUUUUAAAUCUUAACUUUUCACAUACUUUGGCAAAAUAAUUUGUCUCUACCUGCAUGAUACAUCACAGACACAGAGAAAUAUGUAGUUCUCCCUGUCAGGUACUGCCCACAGUCUUAUAAGCAGUUUAGUUCUACUGAUGUCAGGAGUUCAAGUAGCUGCUAUUAAAAACGAAAGACAAUGUGCAAUGAAACUGUUUUCCACUGACUUUAUUGCAGAGAGGAAGGGAAACCAUAUGAGCAUACCUAGUUGAUAGGGUUAUUGCCUGUCUCUCUUAUUGUAGAGCAGUACUGAUUCAGAUAGUUCUGUCCUGCAAGGGGGCGGGCAUAAAAUAUGGCAAAUGUCUUAUCAUUUUAGAAGCAAAACAUAUAUUCUGACUUUUCUCAAAAUGUUACAGAAAGCCUUAAUACUAUAGUUAAGUCAUUUUAAUGUAAUAUAAAGUGGAAUAAAUAACUAGCAUUGCACAUUA
This is a long non-coding RNA of Protopterus annectens (West African lungfish), 1308 nucleotides long. RefSeq lists it as uncharacterized. The transcript is spliced from 2 exons. The record is from RefSeq and is a predicted model, not a curated record. NCBI's taxonomy places the organism in Eukaryota, Metazoa, Chordata, Ceratodontiformes, Protopteridae.